CGGGGCGCGGGGCGGCCGGCAGCCGCUGCUCUUUCACAGCCCCGGGCCCUGCUCGGUCUCCAUCCCCUCCCUGUCCCGGGCAUCCCUGGUGCCACCCGAGCGACCCGCACCAGAGGCCCCCUCCGCCUCCUGCCCUGAUGCAACUAGCUUGAAACUCACACCGAUCAAGAUGAAAUUAUGGAGGAGAACGUGAAAUGGUCUUCUAGAUAGACCCAAGAGAUAACUACAUUUACCUUGAUCAUUAUGAGUCAGCCUUUUAUUUAGUGUGUGCCUCAAAGGGGAAUUUCACCCGAUGCAGUUAGAUAGGAACUCCUUUCCCUGAGGCAUUUAAUCUGAAGCUACCUGAGCAGGAGCACAGUGAUCUGUGCAAGACUUUGGUGGCCUUAGAUGGCUUCUCCUAGUUCAGGGAUUAGUAAAUUGCCAACUCCUUCCCCCACUGAUUCUUGGAAUUGCCACUGAAAUAUAUGGGUUCCUUCACCAUGGCCCUUGUUCUUCCGAGACAGAGAGUGAGUUCUGGAGAAAGACUUGAGGUUCUUGUUCCUCUCAGCACCACUCCUGCUUCCUGGCUAAUGGAAUCGCUGCUAGUUGCUGUGGGAAAGCUGGAUUUCUCAACCUAGGUGAUGACCCCAGGAAUCUGCAGGCUGCAGGCCCAGACUCCCCUUCCCCAUCUUCUCUGGCAACUUGGAGUGGCCAUGUGACACUGUUCUGACCGAUAGUUCACAGGACGUCUGCAGCACAGAGCCAUUCUUCAUGUCUGUUCUGAAGUGCUAACAGGCAAAUAAAGAAUACAACCCUGGACUUUUCCCAUGAAAGGAUCCAUAAGAAGGCCACUCUAUGUCGGAAGCUGAGUCUGGCUGGACUUCUUUCCUGCCUUCAGGCCUGCCUUUUCAUUCUGAAGUAAAAAGUAGAACUAUUUUACCUGCAUGUCCCAGUUUUAUCUGUGAGGUUGGGGGUGGACGAAACACAGAUGGAACCAAUAAGUUUUAUUGUGCAGACAGUGUGGUAUUCACUCUCCAGUGACCUUGUUUUGUGUGUAUACAUAGGGAAAAGUUUAACAAGCCAUCAUUGACUCUGACAAUGGGGGCAUAGGAGUGGCUCUCAAACCAAGGAGCAGAGAUUAUCGCUUUGUGAGGGCAAAUUUGAUUAAGAGGCAACCCUUGUGCACUUUUUGUGGGAUUAAAUAGGGAGCCAAAUGCUUAGUUUCAAUAUAACCAUCUUUCCAGCAGCCUUAAGGAAAAAGCUGCCUGUCAACACUUGGGUAAACAAUAUGAAUGAUGGAAGGAAAAGUGCUCAGAGGCAGGAAAGAGACGGGCAUUGAAAGUUUAUAAGACCUGCAUGCAAUUCAUGAAAAGACCAGAAUGCUCAUAAAGAGAAUGGAUUCUGUGCCCUCCCCUCUGCAGCCUCCAUACACUCCCCACAUUCCCUAGACUCCAGGAAUUCCCCUCUGGUUGCAAUGAAUACAGUGAGCACUCUAGCAUUUGUGCCAACAAAGUAAGAGAGCACAGUUAACAUAAAAUCAUGAGGCAUCUUUUAUAGUCACACACAUGAUCACUUCCUCUGUUUCUGCCCUGCAGGCGAGCAAAAUGCUAGACAUGGAGACACAAGCCCAGCAAACAGCUUUUUGCUAAAACAUUACAAGGAGCUAUGAGCCACACUCAAAUGAACACUCUAACACACAAAAUGUGUUCACGCAGCCUAAUGUUUAAUUUCUGUUCAAAGCCUCUAAAACAAAAUGUAGUGAAUCAUCAUUUGCUCAGAAAGCAUAGGGUGGUGGCAGAGACAAGGGAUCUGAGGUGGAGGGGACUGUGUAAGAGAGGAGUGCAAUGAAGGUCAUUAGGAGAUUAUCUGCACCAAUCUCAUUGCUAAAAAUGUCCACUUCUUACCUUGAGGAUCAGAGUUUGUAGACCAUUUUAUCUUUCUCUGUCAACAGAGAAUCUUGUAGAAUAAUAGCCACUAAAUCAACUAAAUUACACUCAACAAAUACUGAUGAGCAUUCUUUAUGUUUUUCACCUCAUUCUUGCACAAAAGAAGACAAGAAAAUGACUAAAUCCAGACCCCAUCUUUGAGAUGCCUAUAGUUUAUUAAGGGAGUUUAUAGUAACUCCCUAGGAGAUGG
Ictidomys tridecemlineatus (thirteen-lined ground squirrel) is the source of this 2115-nucleotide non-coding RNA. NCBI's taxonomy places the organism in Eukaryota, Metazoa, Chordata, Mammalia, Rodentia, Sciuridae. The record is from RefSeq and is a predicted model, not a curated record.